RNAcentral lists this ribosomal RNA (555 nucleotides) under Triticum aestivum (bread wheat). Its description in RNAcentral is "partial small subunit ribosomal RNA". Lineage: Eukaryota; Viridiplantae; Streptophyta; Magnoliopsida; Poales; Poaceae. The record is from RNAcentral.
CCUGACCGGGGGAAUUUGCGCCACCUCCUCUUCACGAAGCUGCACGAACGAUACAAGUUCCCCGCUGAAUUCGAAAACACAAGCCUCAAAGGGAAUAAAGUGAACAAUGCUGCCCUCACGAAGAUGAGCAAGGCCCUGUCUACUUGGAAAAGCAAUGUGAAGAGAAUGAUCGAGAAAGGUGAGAGUUAUGAGAAGAUCAAGGAGAAAAAUCCUUCGAUCACCGAAGAUGACUACAACGACUUCAAGAACAAUUGCUCGAGCACCGCAAGCUCCCAAUCAAGUGAGUGGGGGAAACAAAUGCGGGAGCUGAACAUAGGGGAACACACACUCGGUCCCGGCGGUUACAGAGUGGCGGAGCCUAUAUGGGACAAGGAGGAGGCGGACCGUGCCGAGCAAGGCCUACCGCCCCUCUUCGAUAAAUACGGUGACAAGCAGACCAGGAACUUUGUCAGGGCCCGGUACAAGAAGGACCCGAAAACAAAGGAGCUUACCACGGAUCCGAAGACCAGGCAGCUUGAGCUUGUUCUGGUAAGGAAUACACCCCCGCGUAAUUAG